RNAcentral lists this ribosomal RNA (425 nucleotides) under uncultured bacterium. RNAcentral's name for it is "partial 16S ribosomal RNA". It matches the Rfam family "Bacterial small subunit ribosomal RNA", at positions 354 to 796 of the family's 1533-position model. The record is from RNAcentral.
GUUAGGAAUAUUGGACAAUGGGCGCAAGCCUGAUCCAGCCAUGCCGCGUGAGUGAUGAAGGCCUUCGGGUUGUAAAGCUCUUUAGCCGAUGAUUAUAAUGACUGUAGUCGGAAAAUAAGCCCCGGCUAACUUCGUGCCAGCAGCCGCGGUAAUACGAAGGGGGCGAGCGUUAUUCGGAAUCACUGGGCGUAAAGCGUGCGUAGGCGGCUUUGCAAGUUGGGAGUGAAAGCCCAGGGCUCAAACCUGGAAUUGCUCUCAAAACUGCAAGGCUCGAAUUCGGGAGAGGAUAGCGGAAUUGUCAGUGUAGCAGUGAAAUGCGUAGAUAUUGACAGGAACACCAGUGGCGUAAGCGGCUAUCUGGACCGAUAUUGACGCUGAGGCACGAAAGCGUGGGGAUCAAACAGGAUUAGAUACCCGUGUAGUCC